GUAGGGAAUAUUGGGCAAUGGAUGCAAGUCUGACCCAGCCAUCCCGCGUGCCGGAAGAAGGCCCUCAGGGUUGUAAACGGCUUUUGACGGUGAAGAAUCGACAGGAUGCGUCCUGUUUUGACGGUAGCCGUUGAAUAAGCACCGGCUAACUCCGUGCCAGCAGCCGCGGUAAUACGGCGGGUGCGAGCGUUGUCCGGAUUUAUUGGGUUUAAAGGGUGCGUAGGCUGGAAGGUCAGUCAGCGGUGAAAAGCUGUCGCUUAACGAUAGUCUUGCCGCAGAUACUUCCUUUCUUGGAUGAGGAGGAGGCCACUGGAACGGAUGGUGUAGCGGUGAAAUGCAUAGAUAUCAUCCAGAACACCGAUUGCGAAGGCAGGUGGCUGUACCUUAAUCGACGCUGAUGCACGAAAGCAUGGGGAGCAAACAGGAUUAGAAACCCGGGUAGUCC
RNAcentral lists this ribosomal RNA (445 nucleotides) under uncultured bacterium. Its description in RNAcentral is "partial 16S ribosomal RNA". It matches the Rfam family "Bacterial small subunit ribosomal RNA", at positions 354 to 796 of the family's 1533-position model. The record is from RNAcentral.